CGCGUAGGUGGUUCGUUAAGCGAGAUGUGAAAGCCCCGGGCUUAACCUGGGAACGGCAUUUCGAACUGGCAGGCUAGAGUGUGGUAGAGGGUAGUGGAAUUUCCUGUGUAGCGGUGAAAUGCGUAGAUAUAGGAAGGAACACCAGUGGCGAAGGCGGCUACCUGGACCAACACUGACACUGAGGUGCGAAAGCGUGGGGAGCAAACA
Molecule: ribosomal RNA, 207 nt
Filed under: uncultured bacterium
Lineage: Bacteria
Description: partial 16S ribosomal RNA
Rfam family: Bacterial small subunit ribosomal RNA
Source: RNAcentral